RNAcentral lists this ribosomal RNA (160 nucleotides) under Helotiales sp. Its description in RNAcentral is "partial large subunit ribosomal RNA". It matches the Rfam family "Eukaryotic large subunit ribosomal RNA", at positions 106 to 261 of the family's 3401-position model. The record is from RNAcentral. Lineage: Eukaryota; Fungi; Ascomycota; Leotiomycetes; Helotiales.
AGCUCAAAUUUGAAAUCUGGCUGGUUUACUAGUCCGAGUUGUAAUUUGUAGAAGAUGCUUCGGGUGAGGCUCUGGUCUAAGUUCCUUGGAACAGGACGUCAUAGAGGGUGAGAAUCCCGUAUGUGACUGGCCGCCUUCGCCUAUGUGAAGCUCUUUCGAC